This 60-nucleotide transfer RNA is filed under the name Actinomycetota bacterium. Its description in RNAcentral is "tRNA-Val". Lineage: Bacteria; Bacillati; Actinomycetota. The record is from RNAcentral.
GGCGAACGGACAGGAGCUCCCUUACAAGGAGGGGUCGCUGGUUCGAAUCCAGCAUCGCCC